GGCAUCAUGUGAACUUCCAGGCUACCACUGUUAUGCAGUCGCAUGGUCACCAUUUCACAAAGAACUUCUGGCUGUGGUUUCUGGAACAAACUAUGGCCUAUCAGGCAUGAUGUUAAUUUCCUGAUGUAAUGCGCACAUUAUUUGGAUGUGGCUGGCUGACCUACCUGGAACAAAUUAGAAUGCAGGCAUCUGAAUUCAAGCGCCGGCCGUCUGGACGUGCUCCGCCUCUCGGCCGGCGGCGCCCACCUGGCGCCCAGCUGGAGCGCCCCCUGGCAGGAUGUCAUUACGGACGUGACGUGGUCUGAGACGAGUCCGUCGGCGCUGGUGGUGGGCACCGGCGACCGGGCCGUGGCCGU
Pollicipes pollicipes is the source of this 356-nucleotide long non-coding RNA. RefSeq lists it as uncharacterized. Lineage: Eukaryota; Metazoa; Arthropoda; Thecostraca; Pollicipedomorpha; Pollicipedidae. The transcript has 3 exons. The record is from RefSeq and is a predicted model, not a curated record.